CUAAAGAUCCCUGGGCUUGCUGCGCUGAGAUCACAUGUAGGACAGGCAGGUUUGCCUUUUUCACUUAUUGCUGUUUAUGGAGCACACAUUUUUGUUAUUUAUUUGAAUGAUGGGAAAUGACCACAGUGGGCUGCCCUGAGGACUGUGAGAGUCAGCUGGGAACAGAGGCCGGACGCCCCGAAUGUGAAACGCUGAGUGUGUGUGGACGUGGAACAACUGCGGAGGUGUUAUUUUGGAAGUCGGCCUUCUGCAGUGGUGUUAGAUUAUUGACUUCAAGCAAAAACGGUAAGUCAAAAAAGCCUGUGUUUCGUAUCAUACCCAUCAGGCAUAGAAGUCCCUGCUC
This 343-nucleotide long non-coding RNA is filed under the name Microcebus murinus (gray mouse lemur). Its description in RNAcentral is "lncRNA (ENSMICG00000048327.1)". Lineage: Eukaryota; Metazoa; Chordata; Mammalia; Primates; Cheirogaleidae. The record is from RNAcentral.